GACGAAGGGGGCUAGCGUUGCUCGGAAUCACUGGGCGUAAAGCGCACGUAGGCGGAUUGCUAAGUCAGGGGUGAAAUCCUGGAGCUCAACUCCAGAACUGCCUUUGAUACUGAGGAUCUUGAGUUCGGGAGAGGUGAGUGGAACUGCGAGUGUAGAGGUGAAAUUCGUAGAUAUUCGCAAGAACACCAGUGGCGAAGGCGGCUCACUGGCCCGAUACUGACGCUGAGGCACGAAAGCGUGGGGAGCAAACAGG
Molecule: ribosomal RNA, 253 nt
Filed under: uncultured bacterium
Lineage: Bacteria
Description: partial 16S ribosomal RNA
Rfam family: Bacterial small subunit ribosomal RNA
Source: RNAcentral